GUGUGCGUGGGUGUGCCGCAUAUUUGAGUCUUGCGUGUGUUGCUUUUCCCAACCUUACUUUGUGCCUUCAUUGUGAUCCUUGCUGUAAGGGAGAGAGACUCCAAGUUGUGGAGAUUCCUCGCAAAUGGAAAAUACUCUAAGGAAAAUACCAUGGUAUUCAAGUUGAUCAUCGGAUCACUUGAAAGGGGUUGAGUUCAACCCUCAUCCAUUGGGACGCCACAACAUGGAAGUAGGCAAGUGUUACUUAGCCGAAUCACGGGAUAAAAAUCGCGUGUCUUGUGUUGAUCUCUCUGUGAUUGUUUGUGUUCACAAUAACUCGCUUCAAGCUACUUAGUCGUACUAACACUCAUAACUAAGUUUUGUAGCUAUUAGUGUUUGAUUUUUACAGGAUCAUCUAUUCACCCCCGCCCCUCUAGGUGCUCUCAAUUGGUAUCAGAGUCGAACUCUUCAUCUAAGGGACUAACCGCCCGAAGAGAUGGAUCCUAAGAGAAAGGGGAUGGUUGUCAACGACAAGGAGAAGUAGUCCAUCUUCAACGAGCCAAGAGAUGACAAGCCCACUAACUCAGGCUCAAGUCACAAGAAGAAGGACGGGAAGAAGAAGAGGUUCAUCAAGAAGAUCAUCUACUACGACAGCGACACAUCUUCUUCUUCACCAAGAGACGACGACGACUCUUCGUCAAAAAAGAGAACGGUUAAUCAAAACUACUCUUUUGACUAUUCUCGCAUGCCAUAUAAUUCGAAUGCACAUUUACUUUCUAUUCCUCUAGAAAAACCACAACACUUUGAUGGAGAGGACUACUCAGUCAUAAAAUGCGUAGUCAUCUAUUUUCUCUCCAUCCUAGCAUUUGGGAAAUAGUGGAAAAUGGAAUGCAUUUCGAUAGUACGGAUAACCUUGUGAUUAUUAAUGAGCAAAUCCAUAAGAAUAUCCAAGCUACUACUGUGUUGUUAGCAUCUCUUUGCAGGGACGAGUAUAAUAAAGUAAGUGGCUUGGACAAUGCCAAGAAAAUCUGGGACACCCUCAAGAUCUCACAUGAGGGAAAUGAUGCUACAAUGAUCACAAAAAUGGAACUGGUGGAAGGCGAGCUAGGGAGAUUCGCCAUGAUCAGGGGAGAAGAGCAAACACAAACCUACAACAGGCUCAAGACCCUGGUCAACAAGAUUAGAAGCUAUGGAAGCACAAGAUGGACGGAUCACGACGUCGUCCAACUCAUGCUCAGGUCCUUUACAGUUAUUAACCCCCAUCUUGUGAAUCUUAUCCGUGAAAAUCCCAGGUACACAAAGAUGAUGCCCGAGGAGAUACUCGGAAAAUUUGUAAGCAGACGCAUGAUGGUUAAGGAGGCAAGGUAUGUAGAUGACGCCUUAAACGGCUCUCUGCCCAUCUACGAGCCGCAACCCGUUGCGCUCAAGGCAACUAGCAGCAAGGAGGCACUACCAAGCAAGGUAGCUCAAGUGGAGGUUGUCGGCCUCAACGAAGAUGAGAUGGCGCAUGGAGGAGUAACCCAAGCAUUCACUAAGUAUUCUAAGGCAUACAGACUCUGCUCCCGCGCAUUCACUUUGUUGUGUUAGAGAAUUGAGCUCCAUUCGAGUCGCGAACUCCCUAUGUUGUCAUUUGAGCUCGAGUCUUCACUUGUGUGCGUGGGUGUGCCGCAUAUUUGAGUCUUGCGUGUGUUGCUUUUCCCAACCUUACUCUGUGCCUUCAUUAUGAUCAUUGCUGUAAGGGCGAGAGACUCCAAGUUGUGGAGAUUCCUCGCAAACGGGAAAAUACUCUAAGGAAAAUACAGUGGUAUUCAAGUUGAUCAUCGGAUCACUUGAAAGGGGUUGAGUGCAACCCUCGUCCAUUGGGACGCCACAACGUGGAAGUAGGCAAGUGUUACUUAGCCAAACCACAGGAUAAAAAUCACGUGUCUUGUGUUGAUCUCUCUGUGAUUGUUUGUGUUCACAAGAACUCGCUUCAAGCUACUUAGCCGUACUAACACUCAUAACUAAGUUUUGUAGCUAUUAGUGUUUGAUUUUUAUAGGAUCACCUAUUCACCCCCCCCUCUAGGUGCUCUCAAUUGGUAUCAGAGUUGAACUCUUCAUCUAAGGGACUAACCGCCCGAAGAGAUGGAUCCUAAGGGAAAGGGGAUGGUGGUCAACGACAAGGAGAAGGAGUCCAUCUUCAACGAGCCAAGAGAUGACAAGCCCACUAACUCAGGCUCAAGUCACAAGAAGAAGGACGGGAAGAAGAAGAGGCUCAUCAAGAAGAUCAUCUACUACGACAGCGAUGCAUCUUCUUCUUCACCAAGAGACGACGACGACGACUCUUCAUCGAAAAAGAGAACGGUUAAUCAAAACAACUCUUUUGACUAUUCUCGCAUGCCAUACAAUUCGAAUGCACAUUUACUUUCUAUUCCUCUACGAAAACCGCCACACUUUGAUGGAGAGGACUACUCAUUUUGGAGUCAUAAAAUGCGUAGUCAUCUAUUUUCUCUCCAUCCUAGCAUUUGGGAAAUAGUGGAAAAUGGAAUGCAUUUCGAUAGUACGGAUAACCCUGUGAUUAUUAAUGAGCAAAUCCAUAAGAAUGCCCAAGCUACUACUGUGUUGUUAGCAUCUCUUUGUAGGGACGAGGAAAGUAAGUGGCUUGGACAACGCCAAGCAAAUCUGGGACACCCUCAAGAUCUCACAUGAGGGAAAUGAUGCUACAAUGAUCACGAAAAUGGAACUGGUGGAAGGUGAGCUAGGGAGAUUCACCAUGAUCAGGGGAGAAGAGCCAACACAAACCUACAACAGGCUCAAGACCCUGGUCAACAAGAUUAGAAGCUAUGGAAGCACAAGAUGGAUGGAUCACGACGUCGUCCGACUCAUGCUCAGGUCCUUUACAGUUAUUGACCCCCAUCUUGUGAAUCUUAUCCGUGAAAAUCCCAGGUACACAAAGAUGACGCCCAAGGAGAUACUCGGAAAAUUUGUAAGCGGGCGCAUGAUGGUUAAGGAGGCAAGGUAUGUAGAUGAUGCCUUAAACGGCCCUCUGCUCGUCUACGAGCCGCAGCCCGUUGCGCUCAAGGCAACUAGCAGCAAGGAGGCACUACGAAGCAAGGUAGCUCAAGUGG
This 3086-nucleotide long non-coding RNA is filed under the name Zea mays. RNAcentral describes it as "long non-coding RNA (ZMAY_LNC000484)". Lineage: Eukaryota; Viridiplantae; Streptophyta; Magnoliopsida; Poales; Poaceae. The record is from RNAcentral.